RNAcentral lists this ribosomal RNA (434 nucleotides) under uncultured bacterium. RNAcentral's name for it is "partial 16S ribosomal RNA". It matches the Rfam family "Bacterial small subunit ribosomal RNA", at positions 29 to 507 of the family's 1533-position model. The record is from RNAcentral.
AGCGAACGCUGGCGGCAGGCCUAACACAUGCAAGUCGAACGAACCCUUCGGGGUUAGUGGCGGUCGGGGGAGUAACACGUGGGACCGUGCCUUUAGGUUCGGAAUACCUCAGGUACACUUGUGCUAAUACCGAAUGUGCCCUUCGGGGGAAAGAUUUAUCGCCGUUAGAGCGGCGCGCGUCGGUUUAGCUAGUUGAUUGUGGUAAUGGCGCACCAGGGCGACGAUCAGUAGACGGUCAGAGAGAAAGAGCAGCCACAUUUGUAGUGAGACGCGGCCCAAAAUCCUACGCGAGGCAGGAGAGGGGGAUCCUGCGAAAUGGGCGAAAGGCUGACGGAGCCAGGCCGCGUGAACGAUGAAGGUCGUAGGAAAGUACAAUUCUUUCACCGGGGACGAUAAUGACGGUACCCGGAGAAGAAGCCCCGGCUAACUUCGUG